CGAGCGGUAAGGGCUCCACAAUUUGCUUAAACGGCGAGACAGGUCGAGGAAAUUUCUUUAGAAAUUUCCUCAUCUAAAACGAAGUGAUGAACUUCGGUCGAAACCAAUCUAUCUCUGGCUAGGGAAAAGAGUUUGAGCAAGGUUGUGGAGUUACACGAGCGGCGGACGGCUGAGUAACGCGUAGGAACGUACCCCAAAGUGAGGGAUAAGCACCAGAAAUGGUGUCUAAUACCGCAUGUGAUCUUCGGAUGAAAGCCCUCGGGCGCUUUGGGAACGGCCUGCGUAUGAUUAGCUUGUUGGUGAGGUAACGGCUCACCCAAGGCGACGAUCAUUAGCUGGUCUGAGAGGAUGAUCAGCCAGACUGGGACUGAGAACGGCCCAGACUCCUACGGGAGGCAGCAGUAGGGAAUUUUCACAAUGGGGGCAACCCUGAUGGAGCAACGCCGCGUGCAGGAUGAAGGCUUUCGGGUCGUAAACUGCUUUUAUUUGUGACGAUUAUGACAGUAGCAAAUGAAUAAGGAUCGGCUAACUCCGUGCCAGCAGCC
Molecule: ribosomal RNA, 545 nt
Filed under: uncultured soil bacterium
Lineage: Bacteria
Description: bacterial SSU rRNA
Rfam family: Bacterial small subunit ribosomal RNA
Source: RNAcentral